This 301-nucleotide ribosomal RNA is filed under the name uncultured Rhogostoma. RNAcentral describes it as "SSU rRNA". The stretch from base 105 to 301 matches the Rfam family "Eukaryotic small subunit ribosomal RNA", at positions 735 to 955 of the family's 1831-position model. The record is from RNAcentral. Lineage: Eukaryota; Cercozoa; Thecofilosea; Cryomonadida.
GACUUCUGGUGUAAUGUGCCUGGCCCGCGGCUCUUUAGGCCUGUGAGUGCCGGUGCGCGUUUACCAUCCUUCUGGGGAACGGGUCUACCCUUUACUGGGCCGGAUUCGGGAUCCAGAUCAUUUACUUUGAAAAAAUUAGAGUGUUUAAAGCAUGAAUACAUGAGAAUCUAGGACUUCGGUUCUAUUUUGUUGGUUUCUGUAACUGAAGUAAUGAUUGAUAGGGAUAGUUGGGGGUGCUAGUAUUGGCCGGUCAGAGGUGAAAUUCUUGGAUUGGGUCAAGACUAACUUAUGCGAAAGCAUU